AACUGGAGACGGGGAGCAAGAUAACAUGGGAGCAAGUUAGCCUGUAACACCUGCAGACGAAUCAGUGAAAGAAUACAUCUAAAUAAAGAAAUCAAAACGGCAACACGGUGACGGAUAUCUGAAAAUCAGAGCAGAGCUUUAACUCACAAACACCUGGUGACAGAGGUGUCUUGCCAGGCUCGGAAGUUGUGAGUUUGCUGCAGUGCUUCGGCGAGCCGCCAGGAGGCGGCGUGCUGACGUCAGAUUGGCUGAAGGAUCCAAACAGCCGAAAGUAGAAACAAUGGGAAGAUGGCGGCUGGCGCGUAAUGACUCGCGGAACUACGAAAGGCUUCAUUUUUCAGCCGACUGACGACUCAGCCGAAUCGUUGCACAAACGGCUCGUAGGCGGGAUGUCGGGGCGUGGUCGUGGCCGGCGCGGUGCAGAGGGCGCAAGCGUCACCAGAGGCGAACCGCUCCUGCCGUCUGUCCAGCAGCCCAGUCCUCUGUUUCCCGCAAUGGAGCACAAGCCCCUCCCACUGACGUGCGGCGAAGAGGCAGAGUACCUGUUGGCCCUCAAGCAGGAGCUCAGAGGCGCCAUGGGCGCGCGACCAGGUUUCAUCCAGCCGCACGCGGGUCACAGGUCACAUGCAGAUGUGGAAAGAUAUUCAGACAAAUACCACAACUCCAGCGAGCAAACGGACGCGCUGACCAACUGGAUCACAGACUGGAAGAGGUUCCCAAAAGAAAUACAACUUUGUGUUAGAAGAUCACUAAAAACAGGUGUGUCUGGAGCGGCGCAGCGAUCCAAGAGAGGUCGGGCUGAUGAGCAGAAGGCAAGCGUGAAAGAAAAACAAGUCCUCCUCAAACUGGAGGUGAGCCAACCACAAAUACGCCAACAUCAAGUCCACUUCACCGCCGUCAACACCCCUCAUUCUGCCUUCAAUACACGCUGCCACCCUCAAUGCUGCCCUCCACUCUCUUCACCACCUUCAACACGUUUCGCUCGCUACCUUCGGUUGCGCUGUAGACACGUGGCUGCUGUCCGUCACUUCUCUUUUAAUCAUCUGCCGCAUGUGGUCGUCACGGAGACGCUGGCAAACGAGGAACAGCGGGGCUCCGAGGAGGAGAAGGAGGACAAUCACGAGGUGGACGAGGAGUACGAAGAAGAGCUGGAGGAGGACACGGAUUACAUCAUGUCCUACUUUGACAACGGCGAAGAUUUUGGCACUGAAAGCGACGACGACAUGGACGAAGCCGUUUACUGAAACCUUCAGGCCAUUGCUGUGGCAACACUCAGACGAAAUGACCACUUUGCGAGCUCAUGGUGCUCAUUUUUAACGUUGGAGGGUGUUACCUUGGUGAAAGGCCACCACGUGGUCAUGAGGGCAGCUGAUAGCAUGCAGGUCCAGGGCGGGGUCGCCGGCCCGCUCCAGGAAGUGGCUUACCUGUCAGGAGCGGGCGGGGGAGUGGUCGUAAGAGGUCAUUUCAACACAACAUAUGCACCACUUUCAUCGCGGCUCCUUACAGAUAAAGAGACAGGGCACACGGGGCUUCCAGAGCCAGCAUCGUGCGCGCACACACGCGCAGCUUACCUGUUCCCUGCAGGUGGCGCUGUGACUAAAGAGUGCCAGCUCUCGGAUGGGCUGCUUGGCCUCUGUGAAGGAUAUGCUCAUCAAAACCAGCACAUCCAAAGCCAACUUGCGGCAGAAUCCAGAAAGCUCCUCCUCUAGCUCCGCCCUCUGCAGGAACACCUGACACACACACGCACAUGCAAGCUAACACUCUCACACACACACUCACAAUGACCCACGAAGACAUAUCAUGGGAAAGCCACUUUUUUUGCUUUUAUAUUCAUUUUAUUGUGCACUUGGUGUCUCCAAGAUUGUAGAAAAGGGUAAUCUAUCCCUCCAGGUGUUGCAGAGAUACUUUUAUGAUCUGUUUGGGGGCUAUUUUUACUCCGUUCAUUUUUCUCCAUUAUCCAUUACGUAUUUUUAUCUGUUACGUCACAUUUGUUGGGGCGGAACUACCAAACAAGAUGGGUGCGGCCAAACGGUUUCGCAAAUCCGCCAUCUAUAUUACUGUGAGAGACCUUUGUAGUCCAAACAACUCAAGGAUGGAGAAGUGGAGGGAUCAAAAUGUUUCAUUGUUGGAUGCAUCACACAACUUAUUGCCCUGUCCCCCGGCAUCAGAACAUCAUAGAAGUGCCUGGUCAAAUGUUAUUUUUCAAGCUUGGUUCCCACAUCUGUGGGCAGAGUCCUGAUAGUUCAAGGACGAUGUUUCAGAAAAUAUUUGUCUGUAUAGAGAAGGAUUUGCCAACUUUGUUUCGUUGAUGGUUCAGUUCCUUCAAUCUAUGGAAACGACGAACAAAGUAAAGCGGUAAACUUGAGAUGACAUAAAAAUAAACUGUAUUUCACUUUAAUAAUAUUGCGUUUCUAUGCACUUGUUUUCAUAGCAUUAGCCUUUCUGCUGAUUUUAGAGCUGUGCGCUCUAUAUUUUCACUUCUUGUGAGUGUAUUUUGAGUAGUUGUAUCAGAUGAAUUGCAUUGAAGGUGCUGUUUUAUUCUUAAGAACACAAUGUGUUAAAUGCAUUCUUUAACUUCUCACUAACGCUAGCAUUAGCUUACUUCGUAGCUUGACUGCAGUGCUUGUUUACAAGACGUGUUCAUAAAUAUUGUGAGGGGAUUUAUUUAGUUACGUGUUAUGUAUGUAUUAACAAGUCUUCUGUCAUUGCCAUCUUUUAAUCAAUCAAAAAGUUUGCGGUGCAAGUAAACGCCACCUCAGCUAAAAAAAACUACAAAUAUGUCCGACCAGAGGGGGCCUGGAAGGAGUGGGGUGUAUCUCAUUUGCAUUUGAAGCGACCGCAACAAAACACCAUGCGCUGUUCCACUUUACGUAGACCACAACUGAAUGCGUAAAAUGGAAGAAUUUAUACAUAAUAAAUUGAUAGUGAUAUGUAAGCUUUAACACAAUUUAUAUAGUGAUAUGUACCGUUUUUUUCCAUGUAUAAUGCGCCCCCAUGUAUAAUACGCACCCUAAAAAUGGCAUA
Molecule: RNA transcript, 3024 nt
Organism: Syngnathus typhle (broad-nosed pipefish)
Lineage: Eukaryota; Metazoa; Chordata; Actinopteri; Syngnathiformes; Syngnathidae
Gene name: DNA-directed RNA polymerase III subunit RPC7-like
Exons: 10
Source: RefSeq, a predicted model, not a curated record